This 889-nucleotide ribosomal RNA is filed under the name uncultured marine group I thaumarchaeote. RNAcentral describes it as "SSU rRNA". It matches the Rfam family "Archaeal small subunit ribosomal RNA", at positions 12 to 906 of the family's 1478-position model. The record is from RNAcentral. Lineage: Archaea; Thermoproteati; Nitrososphaerota.
UCCUGCCGGACCUGACUGCUAUCGGAUUGAUACUAAGCCAUGCGAGUCUUUGCAGUAAUGCAAGGCAUACGGCUCAGUAACACGUAGUCAACCUACCCUAUGGACGGGAAUAAUCUCGGGAAACUGAGCAUAAUGCUUGAUAGAUCAUAAUGCCUGGAAUGGUUUAUGGUUAAAAUGAUUCGUCGCCAUAGGAUGGGACUGCGGCCUAUCAGCUUGUUGGUGAGGUAAUGGCCCACCAAGGCGAUUACAGGUACGGGCUCUGAGAGGAGAAGCCCGGAGAUGGGUACUGAGACACGGACCCAGGCCCUAUGGGGCGCAGCAGGCGAGAAAACUUUGCAAUGUGCGAAAGCACGACAAGGUUAGUCCGAGUGAUUUCUGCUAAAGAAACCUUUUGCCAGUCCUAAAACCGCUGGUGAAUAAGGGGUGGGCAAGUUUUGGUGUCAGCCGCCGCGGUAAAACCAGCACCUCAAGUGGUCAGGAUGAUUAUUGGGCCUAAAGCAUCCGUAGCCGGCUUUGUAAGUUUUCGGUUAAAUCCAUGUGCUCAACGCAUGGGCUGCCGAAAAUACUGCAUAGCUAGGGAGUGGGAGAGGUAGACGGUACUCAGUAGGUAGGGGUAAAAUCCUUUGAUUUAUUGAUGACCACCUGUGGCGAAGGCGGUUUACCAGAACACGUUCGACGGUGAGGGAUGAAAGCUGGGGGAGCAAACCGGAUUAGAUACCCGGGUAGUCCCAGCUGUAAACGAUGCAGAAUAGAUGAUGCAUUGGCAUAAUAGCCAUUGCAGUGUCUCAGGGAAGCCGUUAAGUCUGCCGCCUGGGAAGUACGUACGCAAGUAUGAAACUUAAAGGAAUUGGCGGGGGAGCACCACAAGGGGUGAAGCCUGCGGUUCAAU